AGUUUAGAGAUGGGAUGGAAGUUGGAGAUGGUACCGGGGUCAAGAGUGGGUUUCUUUAAAAGAGGGGUCACUACUGCUUUUUUAAAAUACAAUGGGACAUACCUUUUGAUCGGGGAGCUGUUAAUUAUUUACAAGAUUGGAAUUAAUUGGAUGGAAG
Molecule: long non-coding RNA, 157 nt
Organism: Poecilia latipinna (sailfin molly)
Lineage: Eukaryota; Metazoa; Chordata; Actinopteri; Cyprinodontiformes; Poeciliidae
Exons: 3
Source: RefSeq, a predicted model, not a curated record